CCUACGGGAGGCAGCAGUGAGGAAUAUUGGUCAAUGGCCGGAAGGCUGAACCAGCCAUGCCGCGUGAAGGUCAGUGCCCUAUGGGCGUUAAACUUCUUUUGUGCGGGAGCAAUAAUGGUCACGUGUGGCCAGACGAGAGUACCGUACGAAUAAGCAUCGGCUAACUCCGUGCCAGCAGCCGCGGUAAUACGGGGGAUGCAAGCGUUAUCCGGAUUUAUUGGGUUUAAAGGGUGCGUAGGCUGUGAGGUAAGUCAGCGGUGAAAUGCCCCGGCGCAACGGGGUGAAGUGCCAUUGAUACUGCCUUGAUGGAGUGCGGAUGAGGUGGGAGGAAUGUGUGGUGUAGCGGUGAAAUGCAUAGAGAUCACACAGAACACCGAUUGCGAAGGCAUCUCACGGAUCCGCGAUUGACGCUGAUGCACGAAAGCGUGGGUAGCAAACAGGUUUAGAUACCCCUGUAGUC
RNAcentral lists this ribosomal RNA (460 nucleotides) under uncultured bacterium. Its description in RNAcentral is "partial 16S ribosomal RNA". It matches the Rfam family "Bacterial small subunit ribosomal RNA", at positions 338 to 795 of the family's 1533-position model. The record is from RNAcentral.